This 433-nucleotide ribosomal RNA is filed under the name uncultured bacterium. RNAcentral's name for it is "bacterial SSU rRNA". It matches the Rfam family "Bacterial small subunit ribosomal RNA", at positions 959 to 1392 of the family's 1533-position model. The record is from RNAcentral.
ACGCGAAGAACCUUACCCANGGCUUGACAUGCAGUGGACAGCUCCAGAAAUGGAGACUUCCUUCGGGACCGCUGCACAGGUGCUGCAUGGCUGUCGUCAGCUCGUGCCGUGAGGUGUUGGGUUAAGUCCCGCAACGAGCGCAACCCUUAUCGUUAGUUGCCAACAUUUUAGGUGGGAACUCUAGCGAGACUGCCCGGGUUAACCGGGAGGAAGGUGAGGAUGACGUCAAGUCCGCAUGGCCCUUAUGUCUGGGGCUACACACGUGCUACAAUGGUCGGUACAGAAGGCAGCGAAACCGCGAGGCGGAGCAAAUCCCAAAAACCGGCCCCAGUUCAGAUUGUAGUCUGCAACUCGACUACAUGAAGAUGGAAUUGCUAGUAAUGGCGAGUCAGCUACAUCGCCGUGAAUACGUUCUAGGGUCUUGUACACACCG